AUUGAACGCUGGCGGCAGGCCUAACACAUGCAAGUCGAGCGGAUGAAGGGAGCUUGCUCCUGGAUUCAGCGGCGGACGGGUGAGUAAUGCCUAGGAAUCUGCCUGGUAGUGGGGGAUAACGUCCGGAAACGGGCGCUAAUACCGCAUACGUCCUGAGGGAGAAAGUGGGGGAUCUUCGGACCUCACGCUAUCAGGUGAGCCUAGGUCGGAUUAGCUAGUUGGUGGGGUAAAGGCCUACCAAGGCGACGAUCCGUAACUGGUCUGAGAGGAUGAUCAGUCACACUGGGACUGAGACACGGUCCAGACUCCUACGAGAGGCAGCAGUGGGGAAUAUUGGACAAUGGGCGAAAGCCUGAUCCAGCCAUGCCGCGUGUGUGAAGAAGGUCUUCGGAUUGUAAAGCACUUUAAGUUGGGAGGAAGGGCAGUAAGUUAAUACCUUGCUGUUUUGACGUUACCAACAGAAUAAGCACCGGCUAACUUCGUG
Molecule: ribosomal RNA, 484 nt
Filed under: uncultured bacterium
Lineage: Bacteria
Description: partial 16S ribosomal RNA
Rfam family: Bacterial small subunit ribosomal RNA
Source: RNAcentral